RNAcentral lists this ribosomal RNA (640 nucleotides) under uncultured bacterium. Its description in RNAcentral is "bacterial SSU rRNA". It matches the Rfam family "Bacterial small subunit ribosomal RNA", at positions 202 to 842 of the family's 1533-position model. The record is from RNAcentral.
GAAAGAUUCAUCGGAAGAGGAUGGGCAUGCGGCGCAUUAGCUAGACGGCGGGGUAACGGCCCACCGUGGCGACGAUGCGUAGGGGUUCUGAGAGGAAGGUCCCCCACACUGGUACUGAGACACGGACCAGACUCCUACGGGAGGCAGCAGUGAGGAAUAUUGGUCAAUGGGAGAGAUCCUGAACCAGCCAAGCCGCGUGAGGGAAGACGGCCCUAUGGGUUGUAAACCUCUUUUGUCGGAGAACAAAACCCGGGACGUGUCCCGGACUGCGUGUAUCCGAAGAAAAAGCAUCGGCUAACUCCGUGCCGGCAGCCGCGGUAAUACGGAGGAUGCGAGCGUUAUCCGGAUUUAUUGGGUUUAAAGGGUGCGUAGGCGGUCCGUUAAGUCAGCGGUAAAAUUGCGGGGCUCAACCCCGUCGAGCCGUUGAAACUGGCAGACUUGAGUUGGCGAGAAGUACGCGGAAUGCGCGGUGUAGCGGUGAAAUGCAUAGAUAUCGCGCAGAACUCCGAUUGCGAAGGCAGCGUACCGGCGCCAGACUGACGCUGAGGCACGAAAGCGUGGGGAUCGAACAGGAUUAGAUACCCUGGUAGUCCACGCAGUAGACGAUGAAUGCUGGUUGUCCGGGUCGAAUGAGAUCUGG